CGAUGCAUGGACAACUCUUUGCUUCGAUGCUUUUCUAAGUAUGUUGCAACCACUUGAUCUCUAAGUCAUGUGGGCUCACCUAAUAGUUAUUAUCCACAUUCUUUAGUUAAUUCAGACCCACCAUUCAUAAGCAGAUGCAAAGCUAUCAUUGGGUCUUUCACCUAACAGUUAUUGGGUCUAACCUUAUUUUUAUUCUGGAGCAACUCUUUGCUAAUAGAAUGAUUGUGUAUUCUCGAUGCAACUGAACCACUGUGAUCAGUCAAAAAUAAUCA
Molecule: long non-coding RNA, 272 nt
Filed under: Elaeis guineensis (African oil palm)
Lineage: Eukaryota; Viridiplantae; Streptophyta; Magnoliopsida; Arecales; Arecaceae
Description: long non-coding RNA (EGUI_LNC062329)
Source: RNAcentral